Molecule: ribosomal RNA, 468 nt
Filed under: uncultured bacterium
Lineage: Bacteria
Description: partial 16S ribosomal RNA
Rfam family: Bacterial small subunit ribosomal RNA
Source: RNAcentral
GACGAACGCUGGCGGCGUGCUUAACACAUGCAAGUCGAACGGAAAGGCCCUGCUUUUGUGGGGUGCUCGAGUGGCGAACGGGGGAGUAACAAGGGAGUAACCUGCCCUUGACUUUGGGAUAAAUUCAGGAAAAUGGGGCUAAUACCGGAUAGGAGCUCCUGCUGCAUGGUGGGGGGUGGAAAGUUUCGGCGGUUGGGGACGGACUCGGGGCUUAUCAGCUUGUUGGUGGGGUAGUGGCUUACCAAGGCUUUGACGGGUAGCCGGCCUGAGAGGGUGACCGGCCACAUUGGGACUGAGAUACGGCCCAGACUCCUACGGGAGGCAGCAGUGGGGAAUAUUGCACAAUGGGCGGAAGCCUGAUGCAGCAACGCCGCGUGCGGGAUGACGGCCUUCGGGUUGUAAACCGCUUUCGCCUGUGACGAAGCGUGAGUGACGGUAAUGGGUAAAGAAGCACCGGCUAACUACGUG